GGGUUGUGAGGUUAAGCGACUAAGCGUACACGGUGGAUGCCCUGGCAGUCAGAGGCGAUGAAGGACGUGCUAAUCUGCGAUAAGCGUCGGUAAGGUGAUAUGAACCGUUAUAACCGGCGAUUUCCGAAUGGGGAAACCCAGUGUGAUUCGUCACACUAUCAUUAACUGAAUCCAUAGGUUAAUGAGGCGAACCGGGGGAACUGAAACAUCUAAGUACCCCGAGGAAAAGAAAUCAACCGAGAUUCCCCCAGUAGCGGCGAGCGAACGGGGAGCAGCCCAGAGCCUGAAUCAGUGUGUGUGUUAGUGGAAGCGUCUGGAAAGGCGUGCGAUACAGGGUGACAGCCCCGUACACAAAAAUGCACAUGCUGUGAGCUCGAUGAGUAGGGCGGGACACGUGGUAUCCUGUCUGAAUAUGGGGGGACCAUCCUCCAAGGCUAAAUACUCCUGACUGACCGAUAGUGAACCAGUACCGUGAGGGAAAGGCGAAAAGAACCCCGGCGAGGGGAGUGAAAAAGAACCUGAAACCGUGUACGUACAAGCAGUGGGAGCACAGAGCAAUCUGUGUGACUGCGUACCUUUUGUAUAAUGGGUCAGCGACUUAUAUUCUGUAGCAAGGUUAACCGAAUAGGGGAGCCGAAGGGAAACCGAGUCUUAACUGGGCGUUAAGUUGCAGGGUAUAGACCCGAAACCCGGUGAUCUAGCCAUGGGCAGGUUGAAGGUUGGGUAACACUAACUGGAGGACCGAACCGACUAAUGUUGAAAAAUUAGCGGAUGACUUGUGGCUGGGGGUGAAAGGCCAAUCAAACCGGGAGAUAGCUGGUUCUCCCCGAAAGCUAUUUAGGUAGCGCCUCGUGAAUUCAUCUCCGGGGGUAGAGCACUGUUUCGGCAAGGGGGUCAUCCCGACUUACCAACCCGAUGCAAACUGCGAAUACCGGAGAAUGUUAUCACGGGAGACACACGGCGGGUGCUAACGUCCGUCGUGAAGAGGGAAACAACCCAGACCGCCAGCUAAGGUCCCAAAGUCAUGGUUAAGUGGGAAACGAUGUGGGAAGGCCCAGACAGCCAGGAUGUUGGCUUAGAAGCAGCCAUCAUUUAAAGAAAGCGUAAUAGCUCACUGGUCGAGUCGGCCUGCGCGGAAGAUGUAACGGGGCUAAACCAUGCACCGAAGCUGCGGCAGCGACGCUUAUGCGUUGUUGGGUAGGGGAGCGUUCUGUAAGCCUGCGAAGGUGUGCUGUGAGGCAUGCUGGAGGUAUCAGAAGUGCGAAUGCUGACAUAAGUAACGAUAAAGCGGGUGAAAAGCCCGCUCGCCGGAAGACCAAGGGUUCCUGUCCAACGUUAAUCGGGGCAGGGUGAGUCGACCCCUAAGGCGAGGCCGAAAGGCGUAGUCGAUGGGAAACAGGUUAAUAUUCCUGUACUUGGUGUUACUGCGAAGGGGGGACGGAGAAGGCUAUGUUGGCCGGGCGACGGUUGUCCCGGUUUAAGCGUGUAGGCUGGUUUUCCAGGCAAAUCCGGAAAAUCAAGGCUGAGGCGUGAUGACGAGGCACUACGGUGCUGAAGCAACAAAUGCCCUGCUUCCAGGAAAAGCCUCUAAGCAUCAGGUAACAUCAAAUCGUACCCCAAACCGACACAGGUGGUCAGGUAGAGAAUACCAAGGCGCUUGAGAGAACUCGGGUGAAGGAACUAGGCAAAAUGGUGCCGUAACUUCGGGAGAAGGCACGCUGAUAUGUAGGUGAAGUCCCUCGCGGAUGGAGCUGAAAUCAGUCGAAGAUACCAGCUGGCUGCAACUGUUUAUUAAAAACACAGCACUGUGCAAACACGAAAGUGGACGUAUACGGUGUGACGCCUGCCCGGUGCCGGAAGGUUAAUUGAUGGGGUCAGCGCAAGCGAAGCUCUUGAUCGAAGCCCCGGUAAACGGCGGCCGUAACUAUAACGGUCCUAAGGUAGCGAAAUUCCUUGUCGGGUAAGUUCCGACCUGCACGAAUGGCGUAAUGAUGGCCAGGCUGUCUCCACCCGAGACUCAGUGAAAUUGAACUCGCUGUGAAGAUGCAGUGUACCCGCGGCAAGACGGAAAGACCCCGUGAACCUUUACUAUAGCUUGACACUGAACAUUGAGCCUUGAUGUGUAGGAUAGGUGGGAGGCUUUGAAGUGUGGACGCCAGUCUGCAUGGAGCCGACCUUGAAAUACCACCCUUUAAUGUUUGAUGUUCUAACGUUGACCCGUAAUCCGGGUUGCGGACAGUGUCUGGUGGGUAGUUUGACUGGGGCGGUCUCCUCCUAAAGAGUAACGGAGGAGCACGAAGGUUGGCUAAUCCUGGUCGGACAUCAGGAGGUUAGUGCAAUGGCAUAAGCCAGCUUGACUGCGAGCGUGACGGCGCGAGCAGGUGCGAAAGCAGGUCAUAGUGAUCCGGUGGUUCUGAAUGGAAGGGCCAUCGCUCAACGGAUAAAAGGUACUCCGGGGAUAACAGGCUGAUACCGCCCAAGAGUUCAUAUCGACGGCGGUGUUUGGCACCUCGAUGUCGGCUCAUCACAUCCUGGGGCUGAAGUAGGUCCCAAGGGUAUGGCUGUUCGCCAUUUAAAGUGGUACGCGAGCUGGGUUUAGAACGUCGUGAGACAGUUCGGUCCCUAUCUGCCGUGGGCGCUGGAGAACUGAGGGGGGCUGCUCCUAGUACGAGAGGACCGGAGUGGACGCAUCACUGGUGUUCGGGUUGUCAUGCCAAUGGCACUGCCCGGUAGCUAAAUGCGGAAGAGAUAAGUGCUGAAAGCAUCUAAGCACGAAACUUGCCCCGAGAUGAGUUCUCCCUGACUCCUUGAGAGUCCUGAAGGAACGUUGAAGACGACGACGUUGAUAGGCCGGGUGUGUAAGCGCAGCGAUGCGUUGAGCUAACCGGUACUAAUGAACCGUGAGGCUUAACCUUACAACGCCGAAGGUGUUU
RNAcentral lists this ribosomal RNA (2933 nucleotides) under Escherichia coli. RNAcentral's name for it is "23S ribosomal RNA". It matches the Rfam family "Bacterial large subunit ribosomal RNA". Lineage: Bacteria; Pseudomonadati; Pseudomonadota; Gammaproteobacteria; Enterobacterales; Enterobacteriaceae. The record is from RNAcentral.